GUCAGAGCCAACCAAUUUAGAAAAAGAGAUCCAAUAGCCCGAGGUGGGUCUGGAUUGCUUUGGAAGGCAGGCGACCAUUUUUUUUUUUUCCCACCCACCUACCUUUCACAGCCAUCACUCUAUCGGAAUCUCUAUUCUCAUCUACAAGCUCAUGAAGAAGAAGACCUGUGCUGGGACUCGACGGCCUCAAUCACGAUCCAGACGAGAUCGUACGGAACUAGCAUGAGCGAGUGCAUCACGCCUGUCAAAUGCAGUGCCUGGAACGUCCGUACAUAGCGGAUCUGAGAGGCUAGGAAGUAGCCCCUAGGAUCUUCAACAACUGUUCUUUGGCCUUCAAAACCCUUGCAAAGUCGAGCAGGGUAUUCUUUUUCUUGUUGUAUUCUUGAACACGCAUAGCCCCUGAAAAUGAUGUGACCGGAGGCAUCGGUGAACCCGAGGUCGCCACGGGAAAGGCCACGAUGUUUCUUGGAAACGAAGAGAUCGACUAGGAUCGGGGAGUACGGGUACUCGGGACCGAGAUUGGCCAUGGGUUGGAGGUGAUAUCCCUACUCUACUCUUCUCUUCUCUUUCAAGCUUGGGUCAGACAUAAAAACAAAGAAAUGGGAAACCAGAAUUUAUUCUGUUAGCUGGAAGUUGUUUGUUCGGGACCGUGACUUGAUGCUGCUCCUUCUCUGGGUGGGUCUCUGUUAAAAACGAGGACUAGCAACAACCCAUGAUCUCUGUGGUUUUAGUUUUUUGUUUUUGGUAUUAGUUUUUGAGUUUGUAAACCAAAGCUUGGUGUUAGUCGGCGUUUGGCUCAGUGCCAUGGGGUUCGUCCUUGAUCGAGAUCGGCGCGUUCCUCGAGCCACUCUAGGCAUCGGCAAUAGCAAUGGCUGAAGGUACUUUCUUCUUGCUUGGAACACAGCUGCCUCCCUUUCCCAUUGAGGAAUUCCUUUAAAUGGGGACAGCUCGGGACCAAACCUUUAAAUGGGACAACAACCCAUGGCCUCUAGUGUCUCUCUCUGUCCGUCUGGGGAGAGAAUUAGUAGAGAAUAGCGAGCGAGAGAGGGAGAAUGCGAUGUGGUGUUGACCAGCUGUGGGAUGGAGAUCGGAGGAUCCCAAGGGAGAAAGAGAUAGAUGAAAGAGAAAAUCAAGAACCAGGCGGCGAAGAUUUUUUUUCCUCGCAUAACGUGUUGUGGAUCAAUAAAAAUAGAGAGAGUUUCAAAGACAAAGAGAUAGAGAAUGAGAGAGAUGAGGUUUUCAUAUUGAUCCGUAUAUUUGAACUUAGAAAUACCCAUAUAUAUAGGGGUACAAAAAUUUUAAUUGAUAACUAUGACUUGAUUAACUACGACGGCUAAAUGUGAUCAUAUAAUACAAAUUAGUUUAUAACAUUCAUGAUCUUUUUGUUC
Molecule: long non-coding RNA, 1388 nt
Organism: Carya illinoinensis
Lineage: Eukaryota; Viridiplantae; Streptophyta; Magnoliopsida; Fagales; Juglandaceae
Exons: 2
Source: RefSeq, a predicted model, not a curated record